RNAcentral lists this RNase P RNA (434 nucleotides) under Hydrococcus rivularis NIES-593. RNAcentral describes it as "RNase P RNA component class A". It matches the Rfam family "Bacterial RNase P class A". From Rfam's summary of the family: Ribonuclease P (RNase P) is a ubiquitous endoribonuclease, found in archaea, bacteria and eukarya as well as chloroplasts and mitochondria. Its best characterised activity is the generation of mature 5'-ends of tRNAs by cleaving the 5'-leader elements of precursor-tRNAs. Cellular RNase Ps are ribonucleoproteins. The record is from RNAcentral. Lineage: Bacteria; Bacillati; Cyanobacteriota; Cyanophyceae; Pleurocapsales; Hydrococcaceae.
GAGAGUAAGCGAGGUGGUUGCGGAUUGGCAAAAUUUGCCAGUCUGAGGAAAGUCCGGACUCCCGAAAGACCAAACUUGCUGGGUAACGCCCAGUGUGCGCAAGCGCGAGGAUAGUGCCACAGAAACAUACCGCCAAUUAGUCAUUUGUCAUUUUGUUUUUUACAAAGGACAAAGGACAAAAUUGGUAAGGGUGCAAAGGUGCGGUAAGAGCGCACCAGCAGCAUCGAGAGGUGCUGGCUCGGUAAACCCCGGUUGGGAGCAAGGUCGAAGGGACUACGGUUGGUCUUUUACCAGUCCCGCUUCUAGAGAACCGCUUGAGGUGUCUGGUAACAGACAUCCCAGAUAGAUAACCGCCGGUGCAACAGUUAGCCGAUUGCUGUAAGCUAAGCUACUGGUUACACUAACAGAAUCCGGCUUACGUCCUACUCUCUCCU